Molecule: long non-coding RNA, 541 nt
Organism: Phacochoerus africanus (Common warthog)
Lineage: Eukaryota; Metazoa; Chordata; Mammalia; Artiodactyla; Suidae
Exons: 3
Source: RefSeq, a predicted model, not a curated record
CCUCCGCCCCGGGUGGCCUGGUCCUCCCAGUACGCCCCGCGGGGGAGCACCCUCUGGAGCCUUGGGUCCGCCCACCUCGGCCAAAGUUCAGUUUCAGCUUUCAGAGAUCUCUUAGGCUUCUCACUGUGCUACCUCAGGUCACCGUGGUGAGGAAAAACAGAUCCGGAGCCCUAGGGUCGUGUGAUUUAAACUGCGCCAGGGACCGACAGGCCUCGGUAUUGGUCUUUGCAGUGAGUGCUCUAAGGACCGGCCCACGGAGCUGAUGCCAAGAAGUUCUUUGAGGUCAAGGAUUCCACCAAAGAGUUCUGCACUGUGCUUUAUUGAGACAAACAUUGCGUUUUCAGUGAAACUUGAUUGGAUUCAAAUCCCAACUCUGCCCUUAAUGAACCUAUAGCCAGGGAAACUACCUACUUCAAACAAUGGCAAUGCAGUAGUGACCAUGACCAAUGUGAUUGCCACAUCCAUGGAGUUGAUGAUGGAGCUAUUGAGAAAAACUGAGACAUGCAGCUAGUUAGUGAUAGAACCUAGAUUUAAAUUCAGA